This 240-nucleotide ribosomal RNA is filed under the name uncultured bacterium. RNAcentral describes it as "partial 16S ribosomal RNA". It matches the Rfam family "Bacterial small subunit ribosomal RNA", at positions 118 to 352 of the family's 1533-position model. The record is from RNAcentral.
UGAGGAACAUGACUUUCGGUGGGGGAUAGCCGGCCCAACGGCCGGGUAAUACCGCGUACGACCAUUUGGGGACAUCCCCGAGUGGUGAAAGCAGCAAUGCGCCGAAAGAGUGCCUCGCGGCCUAUCAGCUAGUUGGUGAGGUAACGGCUCACCAAGGCGACGACGGGUAGCUGGUCUGAGAGGAUGGCCAGCCACAUUGGGACUGAGACACGGCCCAGACCUCCGUACGGGGAGGNAGCG